This 1055-nucleotide long non-coding RNA is filed under the name Marmota monax (woodchuck). Lineage: Eukaryota; Metazoa; Chordata; Mammalia; Rodentia; Sciuridae. The record is from RNAcentral.
CUAUAUGGUGCCUGGGCUAUUUCUUGAAUGAAAUGAAUCCAUCAUGAAUGAAAGCAGAAAGAAAUAAUCCUUAGGGUCAAAACUAUAUAAAAGCAUACAACAAGGACUAAAUGUUUUCCCUUUCUCAGUCCCCUUCUUGCUAUAACCCAAGUCUCACAAGCACCAAAUCAUAUCAUCUAAUCUAAUCUAAGAUGCUUAAUUCUACUCAUCCUCAGACUCCAAGGGUCUGAGGAUCAGCACUUCUCACAAGAUGUGGUGCAUAUUUUAGCCCAGCCAUAUUAUCAGUAAACCCUUGUCACCCUCUUCAUCCACUCUGGGACUCAGUGGCUCAGUAUUGAAAACUUCACAAUAAAGGAAGGUACCUGUUAGAGGCAGGCAGACAAGCUCACUUUGCAUCUUUCUCUUGGGGUAGCUUUUUAUACACUUGCAGGGAAAGGUCAUCUUCAGAAUUUCAAGGAUAGAAAAUGAUUUGUCUGUACUUUUAUGGCCAGAGAACCAUGGAAAUGUCAACUAGCACUUAGAACAACAGAGGGAAUGUGCUUCCUCGGGGGCAUUUUCAGCAUUCUUUGUCUGGGUUUCUUUUGUUUUUUGAGUGCCCACCUCUUUUUUCUUUUCUUUUCUUUUUUUUUUCCUUUUGUUCAGUUUUGCCAUCUAGUGGCCAAAAUAAACUAGUGCAAUUAUACCCUAUUCAGUGGGCUGGAAUAGGGUCUUUGUAACUAAAAAAAGUGAGCAUGUGUCCUUCCCCCUCUUUAUUUCACCCAGUUUCUAUUAGAACAUGUCACUCGAUUCAUAAGGAAUACCAAGACCUUAACCUCAAUGUGUCUGGAUCCCUACAGGGGUCAAGGUAAAGAAGUUUAGUUUUGGUUCAAGAGAAGCUGGUUAUGAUAAAAGGGAAAAGAACAAGUGAGGGAUGGGUCCCGUGCUCAUGGCCAGUGGUGACUUCUUCCAGGUGGCAGGGGGAGAGCAGAAUCCUUUGCAAGACUCUGGCUUCUCAGUAGGAAAGAUGGCAUUGACCAGAAAAGGGCAGAAUGGUCAUUGGUAAGAGGGAAUAGGAG